GACGAACGCUGGCGGCGUGCCUAAUACAUGCAAGUCGAGCGAAGUUUUUCUGGUGCUUGCACUAGAAAAACUUAGCGGCGAACGGGUGAGUAACACGUAAAGAACCUGCCUCAUAGACUGGGACAACUAUUGGAAACGAUAGCUAAUACCGGAUAACAGCAUUAACUACAUGGUUGAUGUUUAAAAGUUGGUUUUGCUAACACUAUGAGAUGGCUUUGCGGUGCAUUAGCUAGUUGGUGGGGUAAAGGCCUACCAAGGCGACGAUGCAUAGCCGACCUGAGAGGGUGAUCGGCCACACUGGGACUGAGACACGGCCCAGACUCCUACGGGAGGCAGCAGUAGGGAAUCUUCCGCAAUGGGCGAAAGCCUGACGGAGCAACGCCGCGUGAGUGAAGAAGGAUUUCGGUUCGUAAAGCUCUGUUGUUAGGGAAGAAUGAUUGUGUAGUAACUAUACACAGUAGAGACGGUACCUAACCAGAAAGCCACGGCUAACUACGU
RNAcentral lists this ribosomal RNA (498 nucleotides) under uncultured bacterium. RNAcentral's name for it is "partial 16S ribosomal RNA". It matches the Rfam family "Bacterial small subunit ribosomal RNA", at positions 28 to 506 of the family's 1533-position model. The record is from RNAcentral.